GACGAACGCUGGCGGCGUGCUUAACACAUGCAAGUCGAGCGGUAAGGCCCUUUCGGGGGGUACACGAGCGGCGAACGGGUGAGUAACACGUGGGUGACCUGCCCUCAGCUCUGGGAUAAGCCUGGGAAACCGGGUCUAAUACUGGAUAUGACUCCAUGACGCAUGUUGUGGGGUGGAAAGCCUUGUGCGGCUGAGGAUGGGCCCGCGGCCUAUCAGCUUGUUGGUGGGGUGANGGCCUACCAAGGCGACGACGGGUAGCCGGCCUGAGAGGGCGACCGGCCACACUGGGACUGAGACACGGCCCAGACUCCUACGGGAGGCAGCAGUGGGGAAUCUUGGACAAUGGGGGAAACCCUGAUCCAGCCAUGUCGCGUGAGUGAUGAAGGCC
RNAcentral lists this ribosomal RNA (388 nucleotides) under uncultured bacterium. RNAcentral describes it as "bacterial SSU rRNA". It matches the Rfam family "Bacterial small subunit ribosomal RNA", at positions 28 to 416 of the family's 1533-position model. The record is from RNAcentral.